Salvia splendens (bonfire salvia) is the source of this 355-nucleotide long non-coding RNA. RefSeq lists it as uncharacterized. The transcript has 3 exons. The record is from RefSeq and is a predicted model, not a curated record. Lineage: Eukaryota; Viridiplantae; Streptophyta; Magnoliopsida; Lamiales; Lamiaceae.
UCUCAAUCUUUAUUACAAUUAUUCUCCCAAAUAUUCUCUAAUUAAUUGUGGGAUAUUUUCAAGCUCUAUAAAUAAGAACCUAACCCUAACCUCACUAAACACACGCCUACACUCCCUCUCACACGCCCCCUCCCCUCUUCUUCACUCUCCCACACUUGUUCUUCCACUCUACUCAAGAUCCUUUCGAUUCGCCAAGAGUUUGUUGAAGAACCAAGAGUUUUAAACGUUUCUACCGAUUGUUUUGUUCAAGAAAGGUGAUAACUCGUGCUCGAAGCGUGAUAGCAAAGGAAAGGCAGUAGUUGAAAUCAAAACGGUCGAGGUUGAGCAGCGACGAGCGGUUGGUGGUGUUGAGCAG